GAUGAAGAACGUAGCGAAAUGCGAUAAGUAAUGCGAAUUGCAGAAUUCAGUGAAUCAUCGAAUCUUUGAACGCACAUUGCGCCCGCUAGUAUUCUGGCGGGCAUGCCUGUCUGAGCGUCAUUUCAACCCUCGCCCCCGGCUUUUGCUGGGAGCGGUGUUGGGGAUCGGCCGCCCGUCACUGGGAGGCCGGCCCCGGAAUAGAGUGGCGACCACGCCGUGUGCUCCUCUGCGUAGUAGUAAAUCACCUCGCAGGCGGACAGCGGUGCGGCCUGCCGUAAAACCCCCAACUCUUUCUGGUUGACCUCAGAUCAGGUAGGAAUACCCGCUGAACUUAAGCAUAUCAAUAAGCGGAGGA
RNAcentral lists this unclassified non-coding RNA (355 nucleotides) under soil metagenome. RNAcentral describes it as "partial contains 5.8S ribosomal RNA, internal transcribed spacer 2, and large subunit ribosomal RNA". The stretch from base 1 to 120 matches the Rfam family "5.8S ribosomal RNA", at positions 35 to 154 of the family's 154-position model. The record is from RNAcentral.